RNAcentral lists this ribosomal RNA (449 nucleotides) under uncultured bacterium. RNAcentral's name for it is "partial 16S ribosomal RNA". It matches the Rfam family "Bacterial small subunit ribosomal RNA", at positions 29 to 523 of the family's 1533-position model. The record is from RNAcentral.
AGCGAACGCUGGCGGCAGGCCUAACACAUGCAAGUCGAACGAACUCUUCGGAGUUAGUGGCGGACGGGUGAGUAACACGUGGGAACGUGCCUUUAGGUUCGGAAUAACUCAGGGAAACUUGUGCUAAUACCGAAUGUGCCCUUCGGGGGAAAGCUUUAUCGCCUUUAGAGCGGCCCGCGUCUGAUUAGCUAGUUGGUGAGGUAAAGGCUCACCAAGGCGACGAUCAGUAGCUGGUCUGAGAGGAUGUUCAGCCACAUUGGGACUGAGACACGGCCCAAACUCCUACGGGAGGCAGCAGUGGGGAAUCUUGCGCAAUGGGCGAAAGCCUGACGCAGCCAUGCCGCGUGAACGAUGAAGGUCUUAGGAUUGUAAAAUUCUUUCACCGGGGACGAUAAUGACGGUACCCGGAGAAGAAGCCCCGGCUAACUUCGUGCCAGCCGCCGCAGUAA